This 376-nucleotide unclassified non-coding RNA is filed under the name uncultured bacterium. RNAcentral's name for it is "contains 16S-23S intergenic spacer region". The record is from RNAcentral.
UCCGGUUUGGCACCGGCAGUCUUCCUAGAGUCCCCGCCAUUACGCGCUGGCAACUAAGAACAGGGGUUGCGCUCGUUGCGGGACUUAACCAAACACCUCACGGCACGAGCUGACGACAGCCAUGCAGCACCUAUAUAGAGACCCUUUCGGGACUUAUCAUCUCUGAUAUCGUCCUCUACAUUUCGAGCCCAGGUAAGGUUCUUCGCGUUGCAUCGAAUUAAACCACAUGCUCCACUGCUUGUGCGGGCCCCCGUCAAUUCCUUUGAGUUUCAACCUUGCGAUUGUACUUCCCAGGUGGAAUACUUAAUGCGUUAGCUUGGAUACUGAUCCUAAAAAGGACCAACAUCUAGUAUUCAUCGUUUAGGGUGUGGACUAC